This is a long non-coding RNA of Mytilus californianus (California mussel), 358 nucleotides long. RefSeq lists it as uncharacterized. The transcript has 5 exons. Lineage: Eukaryota; Metazoa; Mollusca; Bivalvia; Mytilida; Mytilidae. The record is from RefSeq and is a predicted model, not a curated record.
CUUGGAUCUAAGAAAGACUAAUUCUUUUCCCGAAAAGAUGAACAUGAAGCAAAAUACAACAAGUAUAAUAGUAGCAGUAACGAUAUUAUUAGCAUGUGUAGUGCAAGCAAGAUAUACAGAUGAUGACUUAGAUCGGUUUGCCAAGAGAUCAUGGUCAGAUCAACGUAUAGCCGAUUAUCAAGCCAGACUGGCAUUAUACCAAGGACGACCUUUACUAACGCAUGGUCAGUUUGACACAAAUAAAAUUGGUAGAAGGAAAAGAGAUACCGGAAUACUCAGAACACUCAUAAACAAAAACAGACUUUUGCAAUAUUCUGAUGACAGCCAUUUAUGAUCUGAUAAAUUUGUGGAUUUAUCC